AUGGGAGUCUUCUCUCGGGGUGUCAGGUGGGAGAACAGGAGGUCUGCAGCAGAAUCUACUAUCUAUCUAUCUACUAUCUAUCUAUCAUCUAUCUACUAUCUAUCUAUCUACUAUCUAUCUAUCAUCUAUCUAUCAUCUAUCUAUCUAUCAUCUAUCUAUCUAUCUAUCUACUAUCUAUCUAUCAUCUAUCUAUCUAUCAUCUAUCUACUAUCUAUCUAUCUAUCAUCUAUCUAUCUAUCUAUCUAUCUAUUAUCUAUCUAUUAUCUAUCUAUCUAUCAUCUAUCUAUCUAUCAUCUAUCUAUCUAUCUACUAUCUAUCUAUCUAUCAUCUAUCUACUAUCUAUCUAUCUAUCAUCUAUCUACUAUCUAUCUAUCUAUCUAUCUACUAUCUAUCUAUCUAUUAUCUAUCUAUUAUCUAUCUAUCUAUCUAUCUACUAUCUAUCUAUCUAUCUAUCAUCUAUCUAUCAUCUAUCUAUCAUCUAUCUACUAUCUAUCUAUCUAUCUACUAUCUAUCUAUCAUCUAUCUAUCUAUCAUCUAUCUAUCUAUCAUCUAUCUACUAUCUAUCUAUCAUCUAUCUACUAUCUAUCUAUCAUCUAUCUAUCUAUCAUCUAUCUAUCUAUCUAUCAUCUAUCUAUCAUCUAUCUAUCUAUCUAUUAUCUAUCUAUUAUCUAUCUAUCUACUAUCUAUCUAUCAUCUAUCUAUCUACUAUCUAUCUAUCAUCUAUCUACUAUCUAUCUAUCUACUAUCUAUCUAUCAUCUAUCUAUCUAUCUAUCAUCUAUCUACUAUCUAUCUAUCUACUAUCUAUCUAUCAUCUAUCUAUCUACUAUCUAUCUAUCAUCUAUCUACUAUCUAUCUAUCUAUUAUCUAUCUAUUAUCUAUCUAUUAUCUAUCUAUUAUCUAUCUAUUAUCUAUCUAUCUAUCUAUCUAUCUAUCAUCUAUCUACUAUCUAUCUAUCAUCUAUCUACUAUCUAUCUAUCAUCUAUCUACUAUCUAUCUAUCUAUCUAUCAUCUAUCUAUCAUCUAUCUAUCUACUAUCUAUCUAUCAUCUAUCUAUCAUCUAUCUACUAUCUAUCUAUUAUCUAUCUAUCUAUCAUCUAUCUAUCUAUCAUCUAUCUAUCAUCUAUCUAUCAUCUAUCUACUAUCUAUCUAUUAUCUAUCUAUUAUCUAUCUAUCUAUCUAUCUAUCAUCUAUCUAUCAUCUAUCUAUCUACUAUCUAUCUAUCAUCUAUCUACUAUCUAUCUAUCAUCUAUCUAUCU
Molecule: long non-coding RNA, 1257 nt
Filed under: Felis catus (domestic cat)
Lineage: Eukaryota; Metazoa; Chordata; Mammalia; Carnivora; Felidae
Description: lncRNA (ENSFCAG00000050663.1)
Source: RNAcentral